GAAAAAAAAAUGCCUCUUCGGCACCUCCAAUGUAUUGAGCGGUUGUAGACUUCCGACCUGUGCGUGGCAAUCAUGAGUAGCAAGUGAACCCUGGAGGUAACGAAGAGGCAUUUUCUCGGUUAUUUGUUAAAUAAUUUAGACUUUUUUUUAAAGUACAUACCGGCCGUAACGGGAGUAAGUUAAGAUAGUUGCUCAGCGAAACUCCAUAUUUGGCGAUCAACGAACUAAUUUGACAUUAUAACGCGUUCUGGGCGUUAGAGAGAGGUCUCCUACACAGAUACUGGUUCAGCCAGAUCAUUGGUUUGUUAUCAUAACACAGCAAACUAUCAAGGGAUGACUUCGGAUAAACAUUACGAGCAAACAGAGAGCAUCUAAGGAGGUGACCGCUCCGUCUGAAGAGGUCCAGGCAGUGGGGAUACCAUCCCACGGAGUCAGGCCUGUGAUGGAAAGAUAAAAUCUUGCGACUUGUGACGGCCGGCCGCCCAACAA
This is a long non-coding RNA of Coregonus clupeaformis (lake whitefish), 489 nucleotides long. RefSeq lists it as uncharacterized. NCBI's taxonomy places the organism in Eukaryota, Metazoa, Chordata, Actinopteri, Salmoniformes, Salmonidae. The record is from RefSeq and is a predicted model, not a curated record. The transcript is spliced from 3 exons.